UCUGGAGUUGAAGGGGAGCCCUGGAAGGCUCUCGCGGGAAGAGCACUGGGUGGGAUUUGCCUUUGGGUGGGAGGUGGUGCCAGGAGCCAGGGAGAGCAUUGGCUUCCCCCACCAAAGGGGAACUUCCGCAAACACCUGCGCAUGGUCGGCAGCCGGAGGGUGAAGGCCCAGACGUUCGCUGAGCGGCGCGAGCGGAGCUUCAGCCGGUCCUGGAGCGACCCCACCCCCAUGAAAGCCGACACUUCCCACGACUCCCGAGACAGUAGGUGCCCCGCACAGGCCCGCCCACCUUCCCCAGAGCCUCCCCUAGACCCCAGACCCCUGCUGGGGGUCCCCUGCCAGGGCCGCUGGGCUGCGCUUUUGCACUCUGAGCCUUGGUUUACCUGUUUGUGAGAUGGGGACGCUUUCAGCAUCUCCGAUCUCAAAGGUGGGGCUAACUUAACGGCUGCGGCAGUGCUGGCCGGGGGCGUCUGUAGGGCCGUGCCCACCGCCACUGAUAAGAGGCCCUGAGGGGCAGGGGGCUGCGGUGCCCGCCACCACUUCCUCCCAGGCGCCGGACGGACUUGGCUGGAGCUGAUGCCUGCACGCGCCUUCCACCAGCCUCGCACCAGGGUCUCCCUCCCCACAUCAGGCCGCUGCCCAGUGGUGGGUGUCCACAGGCCUGUCCUGCUGGGCUGGCGGCGACCUCUGCAUGGUCCUCCCACUUGCUUGGAGGACCCUCCGGGACCGGGCUUUCGGGCCCUGUGGGCCUUGGGGCCAUGGCCAGGUUAGGAGGUGCUGCUGGGCCUGCUGUCCUGGUGACCCACUUGCUUCCCAGGCAGUGACCUGCAGAGCUCCCACUGCACGCUGGACGAGGCCUUCGAGGACCUGGACUGGGACACUGAGAAGGGCCUGGAGGCUGUGGCCUGCGACACCGAGGGCUUCGUGCCACCAAAGGUCAUGGUGAGGCCCAGCCCAGGCAGUGUUCCUCUGCACCCCGAACAGGACUCCACCCCAACCCAGGAGUCCAGCCAGCUCUGCCUGGGACCACGCAGCCUUCUCCAGCUGCCUGGGGGAGGGUGUCUCACAGGGCUGCACCCUUGGGCUGCCUGGCAGCCAGCCAGAAGGUAGCCUCAUGGGAGCUCCCACAGCCCCUCGGCUUUUGGAUGGGCCUGGGGCCCCUGAGCAGCUCUUUGUCUCUGCAGCUCAUUUCCUCCAAGGUGCCCAAGGCUGAGUACAUCCCCACCAUCAUCCGCCGGGAUGACCCCUCCAUCAUCCCCAUCCUCUACGACCAUGAGCACGCAACCUUCGAGGACAUCCUUGAGGAGAUAGAGAGGAAGCUGAACGUCUAUCACAAGGGAGCCAAGAUCUGGAAGAUGCUGAUUUUCUGUCAGGGAGGUCCUGGACACCUCUAUCUGCUCAAGAACAAGGUGGCCACCUUUGCCAAAGUGGAGAAGGAAGAGGACAUGAUUCACUUCUGGAAGCGGCUGAGCCGCCUGAUGAGCAAAGUGAACCCAGAGCCAAACGUCAUCCACAUCAUGGGCUGCUACAUUCUGGGGAACCCCAAUGGGGAGAAGCUGUUCCAGAACCUCAGGACCCUCAUGACUCCUUAUAGGGUCACCUUCGAGUCACCCCUGGAGCUCUCAGCCCAAGGGAAGCAGAUGAUCGAGACGUACUUUGACUUCCGGUUGUAUCGCCUGUGGAAGAGCCGCCAGCACUCGAAGCUGCUGGACUUUGACGACGUCCUGUGAGGGGCAGAGGCCUCCGCCCAGUCACCUUCAGGCCGCUCCCUCUGCACCGGGACCUGGGGCUGGGCCGCCUCGUGCUCCCCGGGACUGUGCGGCUCUGGUCUUGCCUGGAGCCACUUCAGGGCACCUCAGACGUUGCUCAGGUUCCCCCCAUGGGUUCCGGUCCUCGCUGCACCCAUGGCCACAGAGGCUGCAGUCCCUGGGGGCCGGGAGGAUCCCGCCCCGUGGCCCGUGGAUGCUCAGCGGCCAGGCACUGACCUGCCAUGCCUCGCCUGGAGGCUCGGCUGUGGGCAUCCCUCCAUGGGGUUCAUAGAAAUAAGUGCAAUUUCUACACCCCUGAAACAAUUCAAAGGGAAGCAGCAUUUCUUGUUAACUAGUUAAGCACUAUGCUGCUAGUUACAGCGUAGGCACCCCAGCCCAGCAGCCCAGCAGCCCACAUGUGUUCAGGACCCUCCCUGCCUACCCCUCCCUGCCGUAUCGAUCACCAGCACCAGGAUGGCCCGUGUGCGUGGGGCCAGCGUCGCCGGGCUGCCCAGCCUGGCUCUGUCUAUACUGGCCGAGUCUCUGGCUCUGUCUACACUGGCCGAGUCUCUGGCUCUGUCUACACUGGUCUGUGCUUUCACUUACACUCCUCUUGCCACCCCCCAUCCCUGCUUACUUGGACCUCAGCCGGCGCUGGACCCGGCAGGGGCAGUCUGGGCAGCAGGAAGGAAGUGCACAGCGUCCCCUCCUUCAGAGGAGGCUCUGGGUGGGGCCUGCUCCCCAUCCCCCCAAGCCCACCCAGCACUCUCAUUGCUGCUGUUGAGUUCAGCUUUUAUCAGCCUCAAUCUGGAGGCUCCUUCCCAGUACAGAGGCCUGGGGCUUGGCAGGGGCCCAGCUGGGGCUGCGCCCUGGGUUUCGAGAAACUCGCUGGCACCACAGUGGGCCCCUGGACCCGGCCGCGCAGCUGGUGGACUGUAGGGGCUCCUGAUUCGGCACAGGAGCUCCCAGCUUUUGUCCACGGCCAGCAGGAUGGGCUCUUGUGUAUAUAGCUGGGGCUAGGGGGCAGGCCCCCCUUGUGCAGAGCCAGGGGUCUGAGGGCACCUGGCUGUGUUCCCGGCUGAGGGAGGGCUGGGGCGGGGGCCAGGCUCGGAAGGAUGUACGAUACCCUCAUAGUGACCAUUAAACCUGAUCCUCCACCGCA
Molecule: small RNA, 2910 nt
Filed under: Pongo abelii (Sumatran orangutan)
Lineage: Eukaryota; Metazoa; Chordata; Mammalia; Primates; Hominidae
Description: retained intron
Source: RNAcentral